CAAAUAUGAACGGCACUCUGCUGACAACGCAGCGACCCCGAUGUGGAAACACGGGCAAUAUGGAGGGACACUUAGCAGACACGUUGCGAGUACGUUGCAGCAGGGAUGCUUGUAUUAAGUUUAUUGCUCCCGUCUUAAAGAAUCAUCUUGGCCAUACGGAUCAAUUUUACUUGGAUUUUUUGCUGUCAAAUUUAUUAGGAAUGGAAGAGGAAAAGCAGUCAAUAGCCAUUUCACUUUCCUUUCUCUGAAGGCCAUUCACGGGCGAAGUGUUGGUUGCUGCUCCUAAGAAUUGACCCACAAUCUGCUAUCUGAUGAACUGACCCACAUUCUGCCAUACUUCACCCUGCUCUAUGGAAGGGUGAGCUCUCGGGAUAAAACUGAAAUUGAGAAUAGAUCAUAUGGAAUUGCUUUAAUAAGAUAAUUGCUCCAUCUAGGGACU
Hemicordylus capensis (graceful crag lizard) is the source of this 439-nucleotide long non-coding RNA. RefSeq lists it as uncharacterized. The transcript has 3 exons. Lineage: Eukaryota; Metazoa; Chordata; Lepidosauria; Squamata; Cordylidae. The record is from RefSeq and is a predicted model, not a curated record.